Molecule: ribosomal RNA, 441 nt
Filed under: uncultured bacterium
Lineage: Bacteria
Description: partial 16S ribosomal RNA
Rfam family: Bacterial small subunit ribosomal RNA
Source: RNAcentral
CCUACGGGAGGCAGCAGUGGGGAAUCUUGCACAAUGGGGGGAACCCUGAUGCAGCGACGCCGCGUGAGCGAGGAAGUAUUUCGGUACGUAAAGCUCUAUCAGCAGGGACGAAAAAAGACGGUACCUGUCUAAGCAGCCCCGGCUAACUACGUGCCAGCAGCCGCGGUAAUACGUAGGGGGCAAGCGUUAGCCGUAUUUACUGGGUGUAAAGGGAGCGUAGACGGCAAGGCAAGCCAGAAGUGAAAGGGCAGGGCUCAACCCUGUACAUGCUUUUGGAACUGUGGUGCUAGAGUGCAGGAGAGGUAAGUGGAAUUCCUAGUGUAGCGGUGAAAUGCGUAGAGAUUAGGAGGAACACCAGUGGCGAAGGCGGCUUACUGGACUGUAACUGACGUUGAGGCUCGAAAGCGUGGGGAGCAAACAGGAUUAGAUACCCCAGUAGUC